UUAAUUUCCAACGAAUUUAACGUCGAUGACUAUAAAUGUGAUGAAAUAUGACAAUAACACCUCUAGUCAACCGACUUGUUUGACAACAUGGUCUACCCAAAUUGUGUAAUUUAACAACGGUCAUAACGUUAUAUCGCUAGCUACUGUAGGUGUACAAAAUUCACAAAGUUUAUUUGACCACUGACAAUCCUGUAAAACCUUAGCUAACAUUUAUAUCAACUAAAAGUUGAAAUUCUAUACUAUUUAAUUGUCUAUUUUCUUUCGUUUUUUGAUGGCAUGCGUUUGAAGUGUAUGUAGUUGAAUGCAUUGUAUGAUAUGUGACAGCCUGAUGGUCAUUGGGGGCAAACGUGUCUUUCUAUGUAAACUGAAUUUAACUGCAUAUGAAAUAAUAAUCACCCUAACCCUACCCAUAACCCCCAAACCCCCCACUGCUGUCUUCCUCCUAGCAGACCUAUCAAGCAAACGUAAGUUUCUUUAUAUGUAUCUAAUAUGGUUAUACUGUCACUUGUCACUGCACUCAUCAGUCAUGAUAAUAGUUUUUUUUUUGCCUCCUAAGAUGGAAAAUCCAAGGUUCCGUUUCACGCCCUCACAGGAGUUGGUCCUCAAGGCCACACCCCAGGCAGUAAGAGUGGCUGCUGACGGCCCCCCUGCUUCUGGUGCUCAGGGCUCUCCUGUGAGGACUAAGAAGUGGGAGGAAGUGGAGGCAGAGGCUCGCGCCCGCGUCGUCUCCGAGGGAGGUGACCCCGGUGCAGAGAUGGUCAUCCUGAACCGGUGCACGGUUCCGUUCGGCAAGUACUGGGGUCAGACAUUCAAGUGGAUGAUGGAGAACGACGUAGGCUACAUGUGUACGUGGUAACAGUACAUCAGAAGGAGAGGGAGCGAGAGCGCAGCGUUUCCCAGCAUCCCCUGAUGGGCCAACAAGGACGCCUUGACUCGCUACUCGUGCGCCAAUCCGGCCUUCGCUGAGAUGGUCAGGUUCAACCGGGCACAGGAGGAAGCUAAAGUCCUGUCCUCCCAGCCAGGCCAGGAGGGCCUGGCCCUUGUUGGCAUCAGGAAGUACAAGUGGGACUCGCUGCAGGACCUGUAUGAGACUACAGGUGCAGACAGGAUAAGAUAUGUCAGGAGCUUGAGGAUGCAGACACCCCGUUAUCCUGGGACUGCAAUGGCCGCCUUGAUUGGCUACAUUCAGCGCAGAGACCAGGAGGGGGUAGCUGCUGUGGCCCAGCCCGCCUCAGCCAGCACCACCCCCGCCAGUAACACCCGGCCCAAGAGUGCGGCUACGCCUCUUGGUCCUGCGAUCUCUGCGUUCCUGUCAAGGCGCUCUCUCACCCAGGUGAACUGCAGUCGAAGAUGAAGAAGCUCAUUGCCUCUCAGCCUGCAGUUCAAGGGGUGUCUUUCCCUCGACCAGCACUGCCACCAACAGAUCUAUCGGACUCAGAGCUGGUCAAAGCAGCUGCUGACAUAGACACAUCCCGAGGAAAUGUAUUGGGGCAGAGCGAAGAGGAGGAUUUGCCCCGGCAGUACUUCCUGCCUCCAAGGCCCUCAGAAAGUGCUGAGCUGCUGAUUCCAGAGAGUUGGCAUUCAUCUCUCACCAAGUAGCAGCAGUGGUGGAUCGGCCGCACGCUGUUCACCAGGAAUCCCCGACCCCUUCUUCGCAUGUCAGCUGUUCCUUUGGAUGCCCGUACCUAUAUGGGCAUACAAGCUGGCACGCCCCCAGUCUGCAAGACUCUGCAAGACCACCCGGAGGGUCUUGGACAUCGACCUCUUGUAUCUCAUGGCCACUGAGUGCCUGGAAUGCGGUCGAUGUAAGAAGGUGGCGGGGUGGUCACGGGACCUUGUCAGUCAGCUGGACGCUCGGCAUCUCUGCCAGUUUCCAGCAAUAUUGACAUAGAAGUAACUUCACAAGAUUUAGUUAGUUAGUAAUAAAGUAAAAUAAAAGCGUGUCAUUCAUAUGCUUUAUCUCUCUCUCUCUCUGGGCUGUCCUGUGACCUGCGGGUUGUGAGGAUGCUGAGGUCGCGCACUUUGGGGAACAGUGCGUCACAGACCUACAGCAAGCUGUGUGAAAGUCACAGCGAGUCCUGGAUGCGGAGUGGAAUACGGUACCUCGGGGAGUGCGAGCAGUUUCUGGCCUUGGGCACUGGGCGGCAGUUCACUGAUCUACCGGAGAUGCCCCCGGUGCCCUCACCUGUCUGGCUGCUGACAGUCUACAGCCAUGACGUGUUGUCGCGGCUGGACGAGGUGAAGGCCAGGGUCACCUCCAUCUUUGGGUCCAUCUUAAAGAUGGACUCUACCAAGAAGGUGACUAAAAAGCUUGCGGGUACCGCUGCAGACACGGCCGCCUGGGUUACCAACGUCGGUAAUGAGCAUGGACUGGUCCUCGUCAGUGUCGUCACUGCCGGUGAGGGCGAGGGCUGCUCCCCAAGGCGGCUGGUCUCAUGGAGUGGUACAGGCUCGCCGGGGUGGCGCCCCCCCAGCUCAUGUACGUGGACUGAGACUGCUGCUCCAGCUUUGGUGGAUCAAAGACAGCUGCCAUGUACAAUGAGUGGGACCAGCUGGUGAUUCGGCUGGACAUCUGGCACCUGAUGCGGCGGUUUGCGCCAGGUGUCACCACUGAGAGCCACCAGCUCUACAGUCCCUUCAUGCGGCAGCUGUCAGCCUGCAUCUUUGAGUGGGAUGCAGGCGAUGUCCGCCGACUGCUGGAGGCCAAGACGUCUGCGCUGGAGGGGAGGCACGGGAUGGUCGGCCUCACCGAGGAGGAGGUUUCGAGGCUGAUCGGCAGGAAGGAGAUUGCACUUCACUGUCGGGGUUGUACGCGUGGAGCUGCGGCGACCGAAGUCCUUCUCCUUGACCUCCUCGAGACCUUCAACAGCGAGAAGGGGGUCGACACCCUGGGCAUCCCGUUGCUGGACUCCAUCCACAUCCAGGCAAUCUGGCAAGAGCAGAGGCGCCACCUCCACUGCAUACAAGACCCACCCGGGGUAUACAGGUGUACACCGAGACCGGCAAAAUCACGCCACGCCUUGGUUUAUCUCUGCGCACCGGGCUCCACAUCCUUGGAGUCAUUCCACCUCAACCGGUACCAGGGCAAAUGCAAUGCAUUUCCAGGCAUUCCUGUUGGAUGGACUGGUGAGGUGAAACGAGGACCGUGCGCAUGCAGCAGUGGAGGGAAAGAACAGGCAGUCCCUGCUCUCCUACAGUGGCCACCUGCAGCACAUCCUUAACCUUAGCAGCCAAAGGGUGCUUGGCAAGGAACAGGAUUUUUAUUUUUUUGCUUAAAUAGGGGAACUCCUCGGAGUGGAGUACCUGUACUCGCAGACUGGCAGAGUGCUGCAGGAUGUCAGCGUGGACCCUGACCUUCCUGGAAGAGGCAGCCACCGUCAAGCAGCUCGAUGAGGAGGACGAGGGCUUUCAGGAGGAUGUGGACCCGACAAUCCACAUCCCUCAUGUCACUCAUAUGAGCGCCCCGUCCUCCAGCUCAGCUGCACCUCUGUCAGGGGAACCCGCUGACGCAUCCAGGUCUGGGCCAUCCAGUCCCACCGCCCCUGAAGACGGAAGCUCUCCUGAGGCCCCUGAUCGACACGGUUCUCCUCACCCUGACAACUCCUCUGAUUCAGAGGGGGAGACGCAAGGCCCUAAUGCAAUGCCUGGCUACCAGCAUGUCCGCAGGCUUGCCAGGGCCUUGGUGGGGGUGAGGAACCGUCAGGGGCUGUCGGACCGCAGGGUAGACGGUCUGGUGGCGCUGUGGCUGGCGCUUGAUCUACCCUGCCCGACACCAGGAGAGGAUCGUUCAGGGGCGGUUCAAGGCAACGAAGGGGAAGUCGUCCAUUGUCAUAGUAAAAGACUCUCUCUAAUGUUGCCUUCUUGGACUCAACUCGGGCCCUGCAAAUUGGCCGGGCACCAGCCGUUUGGUGGAGGCCAUUUGCAGUCAGCUCUACCAAAUCCAUCCCAGCGCCAUCAGCCUACUUUAUGAUACAGAAUGCAGGGAUGUGUACUGAACCUGUACCCAUAAUAAAACAAAGUGCUCUAUGCAUCUAAAGGCUUUAAUGAAGUGGCAUCUGCAUUCAUAUAGAUGAUUUUGCAAUAGUCUAGGACCAGUAAGAACAUAGAUUGAACUAUCUGCUUUGUAUUAUUAAGCAAGAGGCCUGACCUAUUUCUAUAGAAGAAGACCCUUUUUAUAUUCAGCAUCUUAAUUAACUCAUCAAUAUGUUUUAAAAAAAAGACAACUUAACGUAUUUACUGAUACACCACCGUACUAGGGACGUACACUUCAAUCAUUAGAAUAAUUUUUGUGUCCUCUAGAAAACAACAUACUUAGUUUUCCAUGUAUUCAAUAAUAAUUUAAGGUCAAAGGUUUUCUGCAAAAUAUUGAAAGCAUAAUGUAGUUCAGAUAGAGUAUGAUCAGCAGGGCGGGCGAUAGAGUACUCAACCGUAUCGUCUGCAUACAGGUGCAGGUAAAACAUUAUUAUUAUUAUAUAUUUCUGACAAAACAAUAUUAUUCAUGUAUAAAAUAGUUGUUUAUUAGACAUUCUAACAUAACACAAUAUCUAGAUACUAAAACAUGUAUAUGCAACAUUUGAACAACAAUUUCGACCCCCUCGGGUUAUAAAGUAUAUGACAUGACGACACAUUGGCUAUUUUAGUAUUCCUUUUUUUAUUUACAUGUUUAUAAUUCGAAAGUAUAUUUUUAGAGUGGAGGGAAAUAUUUUUAUGUUAAACUGUAGAGAACAAGAAGCUUUGGUGAAUCAAAGAGUCACUGAUGUUUUGUAUACAGUACCACACAUAUCCAGAAGGCUCGUUCUGACAAUAAACAAGAAGUUUUAACGUUUCAAACGAGGAUGUCAAGACAGGUCCGUACUGUAGUACUACGCUAUUACACUGUUAUGUACUACUAAUGUUCUAGUAUCUAGGAUGUUAAGGAAUAUCUAUAGGGGGGAACAUGUACAAGAUAUAACACAUUCCCCACUGCAUCGAAGGAUGCUGACACUGACAUUGUAUUAUGUGAAAGUAGCAUAAGUAUGUGUAAUGAGUUUACAAUUUUGUUUAAAAGUUCAGAAUAUGUCUAGGGAAUAUUGAGAUGGGGUACAUAUAUUAUGUAUUUCCAUGUCUUACACAUGUUUAAUAACUUGUGAGUUGUAGACAUAUUUUGAUUUAGUUCAGCGUUGAGUCGUUUUGUUUUACAUGUAAUCUAAGAUCUUCACAACCUAAUACAUAUACAACUUUUUUCAUUCCCCCCAUGGCUAUAUAAACCCAACUCUAGGUUUCAUUUGCAUUAUAAUAAUGAUUUACAAAUGAAAAAGUCAAUAGUUAAUUGCAUAUUAUGUAAUU
RNA transcript from Salvelinus namaycush (lake trout), 5325 nucleotides. RefSeq lists it as uncharacterized. Lineage: Eukaryota; Metazoa; Chordata; Actinopteri; Salmoniformes; Salmonidae. The transcript has 13 exons. The record is from RefSeq and is a predicted model, not a curated record.